AUUGAACGCUGGCGGCAUGCCUUACACAUGCAAGUCGAUCGGUAACAGGUCUUCGGAUGCUGACGAGUGGCGAACGGGUGAGUAAUACAUCGGAACGUGCCUAGUAGUGGGGGAUAACUACUCGAAAGAGUGGCUAAUACCGCAUGAGAUCUACGGAUGAAAGCAGGGGAUCGCAAGACCUUGUGCUACUAGAGCGGCCGAUGGCAGAUUAGGUAGUUGGUGGGAUAAAAGCUUACCAAGCCGACGAUCUGUAGCUGGUCUGAGAGGACGAUCAGCCACACUGGGACUGAGAAACGGCCCAGACUCCUACGGGAGGCAGCAGUGGGGAAUUUUGGGCAAUGGGCGCAAGCCUGAUCCAGCAAUGCCGCGUGCAGGAUGAAGGCCUUCGGGUUGUAAACUGCUUUUGUACGGAACGAAAAGCCCCGGGUUAAUACCCUGGGGUCAUGACGGUACCGUAAGAAUAAGCACCGGCUAACUACGUGCCAGCAGCCGCAGUAA
RNAcentral lists this ribosomal RNA (498 nucleotides) under uncultured bacterium. Its description in RNAcentral is "partial 16S ribosomal RNA". It matches the Rfam family "Bacterial small subunit ribosomal RNA", at positions 30 to 523 of the family's 1533-position model. The record is from RNAcentral.